GCGGGGCUGCUCUGGGACAGAGCCGCUCCCCAUCCUGCUGCGCGGCAAAAGAGCCUCAUGGGGUGGAGCAGGGACAAGGACACAGUGGGGAAGGACGUUCUGGGAGGGAUCCUGUGUCCCCUCUUCUAUGGGGUGCUGCCUCUUGCACCAGGGCUGCUCUGAAAAGCUGCGGGAAGGGCAGUGCUAAGCUUUGAUCCCAGUGCGGUUUUCAUUCCCCUCAGAUGUUAUUCUUGGAGUUCAUAAUUGGUAGCUCUUGGGACAAAGUCAUAAAAUCAAUAAAACUAGGAUUGCUUUA
This is a long non-coding RNA of Vidua chalybeata, 295 nucleotides long. RefSeq lists it as uncharacterized. NCBI's taxonomy places the organism in Eukaryota, Metazoa, Chordata, Aves, Passeriformes, Viduidae. The transcript is spliced from 2 exons. The record is from RefSeq and is a predicted model, not a curated record.